GGAACAAGCAGAGAUACUGAGCGCAUUGUGUGGUGCAUUGCAACAUGAUUCAAUCGAGUGAUGAAACUGUGAUGCCGUGAAAUGGUGUUGCUUCCUAUUGCAAUCUCAUGAAUGAUGUAUCAAUGUGCGAGCUCGUCUCCGAGUUUUAGCUAUAGACACUGACAGAAAGGUCUGCUCGGUUCAAUCUCUAGAUUUGCUUCGACAUCUGCGAGACCUCUUCAUGGCGGGUAGAAGGCACUUUUGCGAAUUUACACUGAAGACGUCGAGAAUGGAGUUUACAGUUUGGUGGGCAUGGAGCUUUCCAAAGCAGUAGGGAGGAUGAAACCAUGGCAGCGGUCGCCCUCAAACCCAGAAAGCGUGCAGAAGUAAACGCGCCGUCGUCAGUUGUGCGGGUGCAACGAUGAGGCGGGCAAGAUGCUUGCGUGUUGCAAGCUACGACGAUCUGUGGCAGCAGCAGCAUAUGAUGGAGAGAUCCUGCAACGCUCAGACCUUCACACACACGUCGAUCAGAAAGCUAUUACUCUUUCACGAUCAGGAAGGAGCGUUGUGAUCGGUUUCAAGAGAGCAGUUGCAGUUUGUUUUUGGUUUCAUGACAUGAAGUUUACUUGAGUUGUUUGUUUAAGUUGUUUUCUUAGUUGUUGUUUUACCGUAUCGAAGCGUGUUUGAGGUUCUCAUGCUGCUUGGGUUGCAGCGAUCAGAAGCUUUUACGAAGUUUUAUCACCUUGCAGGGAUUGGGUUAGAAUUGUUUUAGGAUCCAGGCACUGAUCAAGAUUAGGACCUAAAGUAGCUGGUCUAAUAAGUAGCACCUUGACAAGAGGGCCUAUUUAGUGGGCCGUUGAAAAACAGUGUUGUUAGAAAUGGUUUAAAGAAAGUUAGGACAAGUUAGGAAGAGUCAAACCAUGACUUUGGCAAUUUGGCUUUGAGAUCUGCCAAUAGUGAGAAAGGCAUGAAAGAGGGUAUUUCUUGGUAACCAGAGGAAAAUGUGCACUCUGCUUCAUUUAAGAAUAUUAGUUUAAAUUGUAAAAACAUAAUUAAAAUAUUAAAUUAUAUA
Molecule: long non-coding RNA, 1051 nt
Organism: Physcomitrium patens
Lineage: Eukaryota; Viridiplantae; Streptophyta; Bryopsida; Funariales; Funariaceae
Source: RefSeq, a predicted model, not a curated record